This 1925-nucleotide unclassified non-coding RNA is filed under the name Amphibalanus amphitrite. RNAcentral's name for it is "vacuolar protein sorting-associated protein 4-like, transcript variant X1". Lineage: Eukaryota; Metazoa; Arthropoda; Thecostraca; Balanomorpha; Balanidae. The record is from RNAcentral.
ACGUAGGCUCGCGGCUCGCUGCUGCAGCGCUGCUGUGUUGCAAAUAUUCCAGCUAAAUGCAUUUUUUACCGAAUAAUAGUUGAAUUUAAUGGCUGAAAAGGAUCGCCCAAGAUCUGAGUACGAUUACCAAGAGGCGCUGGCCUGGUGUCGCAGAACCGCCUGGAGUGUAUCCAACAGCUGGUCGGGGACGGUUCAGACGUGGCCCGCCUCGACCCAUUGCUGAUGACGUCAUUCUAUGAGCGGCUGACCACCAACCUGGCCCGGCUGAGGGCCGCCGAACAGCAUCCUCCGUUCAGGGAGAGCCUGCAGGCGCUGUUGGACGAGUGUCAGCACCAGCAGGCCAAAAUCCUGCGCAUCUGCAGGAGGCCGCCGCCCGCCAAGGCCGCCAGCGCCGCCAGAAAAGACACCAGCCCGCCGGAGACAGGGAGCCGCACCCCACCCGUCCCGUCGGCAGUCGACGCGGCGGUGCGGGACGGCGGCGGCGACCGGCGGCCGCUGGCGGCGCCCCACCGCUCCCGGCUCCGCUUCUCCGACGUGGCCGGCCUGGAAGAGGCCAAGGCGUCGCUGGCAGAGGCGGUCAUCAUGCCCGUCCAGUUCCCGCAUCUGUUCACAGGUGGCCGGCGGCCGUGGACCCGGGUGUUGCUCUACGGGCCGCCCGGCACCGGCAAGUCGCGCCUGGCGGCGGCCGUGGCCGGCGAGGCGGGCGCCGAGCUGUUCCCCGUGUCCGCCGCCGACCUGCUCUCGUCCUACGUCGGCGAGACUGAGAAGGCCAUGUCGGACCUGUUUGCCCGCGCCGCCUCUCGCCAGCCGGCCGGCCGGGCCGUUCUGUUCGUGGACGAGCUGGACGGCCUGUGUCGCGUCCGCUCGGGCCGCGAGGAGGAGCACACGCGCCGGCUGAAGACGCACCUGCUGCAGCUGAUGGACGGCCUGCUGUCCGGCGGUGGUGGAGGUGCGGCGGCCACCACCUUCCUGCUGGCGGCCACCAACUGCCCCUGGGACCUGGACCCGGCUUUCCUGCGCCGCUUCCAGAGGCGCGUCUACGUGCCGCUGCCCGACAGGGCAGCUCAGCGGCGUCUGAUCGAGCUCCACCUGGGCGGUACGGCCACCAGUCUUUCGGAGCUCGACUGGCAGCAGCUGCUGGCCGGCACCGACGGCCUCUCCGGCUCCGACCUGGCAGAGCUCACCCAGCACGCGCUCUACCAGCCGCUGCGUGAGCUCGAGACGGCCACCAGCUGGCGACGACUCGGAGACGUUGGCUACAGACAUACCGCGCCGCACAGAUGUUCUUACUGCGCCCCGUCGGCCGGAGGAGCGGGCGGUGCGCCCGUCUCAGUUUACGGGUGUGACGGCGCUAAUGGCGCUCCAGGCCUCGCACCGGACUGACCCAACAUUCCCAGGUCAGUUUAUGGUGUGCGAGCCGAGUCACCCGGACGCGUUCACCUGCUCCGUGUCCGACAUACCCUUCCACGCGGUGGUGGCGCGCGACUUGCAGCUCUCGGAUUUCCUGGGUGCCCUGCGCACCACGGGCCCCUCGGUCAGCCAGGAGAUGCUGCGGAGGCACGAGGAGUUCAGCAAGGGCCGCGGCAGUGCCACCCCACUGGGAUAGGGCGGCGACUCCGACCGACUGCAUCCCCAGCACGGACACAGGACGGCUUAGUGAGUUAACCCCAAGUCAUGGUGGACGGCAGAGGCUCGCUCGCCACACAGAAAACGCUGCAGAUGUCUUGUCUUUGUGAGAGGCGUGUUCAUCUGUCGUGGACUGGACGGUGCUCAUUCGGCGAGUCCUCCGGCCGGGUCGGUCGGGCGGCCGGCCUCUGAUGAACCCUGCAGACUAGACAAUGGAACUGUCCGCGUAUCGGCCGACGCGAUGUGUUUGUUGGCAUUUGAGAUGGUGGUCGCGCGCCGUAAUAUACUGCCGCCGGACA